This 434-nucleotide ribosomal RNA is filed under the name uncultured bacterium. Its description in RNAcentral is "partial 16S ribosomal RNA". It matches the Rfam family "Bacterial small subunit ribosomal RNA", at positions 29 to 507 of the family's 1533-position model. The record is from RNAcentral.
AGCGAACGCUGGCGGCAGGCCUAACACAUGCAAGUCGAACGAACCUUUCGGGGUUAGUGGCGGACGGGUGAGUAACACGUGGGAACGUGCCUUUAGGUUCGGAAUAACUCAGGGAAACUUGUGCUAAUACCGAAUGUGCCCUUCGGGGAAAAGAUUUAUCGCCUUUAGAGCGGCCCGCGUCUGAUUAGCUAGUUGGUUGAGGUAAUGGCUCACCAAGGCGACGAUCAGUAGCUGGUCUGAGAGGAUGAUCAGCCACAUUGGGACUGAGACACGGCCCAAACUCCUACGGGAGGCAGCAGUGGGGAAUCUUGCGCAAUGGGCGAAAGCCUGACGCAGCCAUGCCGCGUGAAUGAUGAAGGUCUUAGGAUUGUAAAAUUCUUUCACCGGGGACGAUAAUGACGGUACCCGGAGAAGAAGCCCCGGCUAACUUCGUG